CAACAGAUGCUCAAAGGCGGAUGACAGAAGCCGGCCUGCCACCCUCCAUUUGGACAGCAAGGCCCCGAGAGGGGUUCACCUGGGAGGUGUCAAUGGAAAAAGGCAGAGAGCCGGACAUUUUGCUCUGGAGGAACGACAGCAAGGCCGGGUCUGCCGCUGCUCUGUGCCCACUCUGCGUGAGCUCCUCCACUUGCUCUGGCCCCUAGAGUCCUCCUGAACCCAUCUGACAGAUGACCAACCUGAGACAAAGACGGCUCACAGGGCCACACAGCCAGGAGGGGUCCAGGUGGAGACUGAGAAGCAAAACUGAGCCAGAGCUUCCUGAACCUGUCCUUGGAGACCGUCUCAGCUCCUGAAGAGGAAAUGAAGAAGAACAGACAUGGACCCCAGUGGCUGAGCGCCUGGCCGCCGAUAUGGACCCGCCGCGAUCUGGCCUCUCCCGCCUCGGGGCUCUCGGACCAGUCCAGGAACCUCCCCCGCCUCACAACCUUCCGCGGCUCCCACGGUUCGCGCUCAGGUGCGGGCCCGCGA
This is a long non-coding RNA of Physeter macrocephalus (sperm whale), 531 nucleotides long. RefSeq lists it as uncharacterized. The transcript is spliced from 4 exons. The record is from RefSeq and is a predicted model, not a curated record. NCBI's taxonomy places the organism in Eukaryota, Metazoa, Chordata, Mammalia, Artiodactyla, Physeteridae.